GGCUCAGGAUGAACGCUGGCGGCGUGCCUAAUACAUGCAAGUCGAGCGAAUGGAUUAAGAGCUUGCUCUUAUGAAGUUAGCGGCGGACGGGUGAGUAACACGUGGGUAACCUGCCCAUAAGACUGGGAUAACUCCGGGAAACCGGGGCUAAUACCGGAUAACAUUUUGAACCGCAUGGUUCGAAAUUGAAAGGCGGCUUCGGCUGUCACUUAUGGAUGGACCCGCGUCGCAUUAGCUAGUUGGUGAGGUAACGGCUCACCAAGGCAACGAUGCGUAGCCGACCUGAGAGGGUGAUCGGCCACACUGGGACUGAGACACGGCCCAGACUCCUACGGGAGGCAGCAGUAGGGAAUCUUCCGCAAUGGACGAAAGUCUGACGGAGCAACGCCGCGUGAGUGAUGAAGGCUUUCGGGUCGUAAAACUCUGUUGUUAGGGAAGAACAAGUGCUAGUUGAAUAAGCUGGCACCUUGACGGUACCUAACCAGAAAGCCACGGCUAACUACGUGCCAGCAGCCGCGGUAAUACGUAGGUGGCAAGCGUUAUCCGGAAUUAUUGGGCGUAAAGCGCGCGCAGGUGGUUUCUUAAGUCUGAUGUGAAAGCCCACGGCUCAACCGUGGAGGGUCAUUGGAAACUGGGAGACUUGAGUGCAGAAGAGGAAAGUGGAAUUCCAUGUGUAGCGGUGAAAUGCGUAGAGAUAUGGAGGAACACCAGUGGCGAAGGCGACUUUCUGGUCUGUAAC
RNAcentral lists this ribosomal RNA (739 nucleotides) under Bacillus sp. SMCC G883. RNAcentral describes it as "bacterial SSU rRNA". It matches the Rfam family "Bacterial small subunit ribosomal RNA", at positions 21 to 740 of the family's 1533-position model. The record is from RNAcentral. Lineage: Bacteria; Bacillati; Bacillota; Bacilli; Caryophanales; Bacillaceae.